This is a long non-coding RNA of Passer domesticus (house sparrow), 4424 nucleotides long. RefSeq lists it as uncharacterized. Lineage: Eukaryota; Metazoa; Chordata; Aves; Passeriformes; Passeridae. The transcript has 3 exons. The record is from RefSeq and is a predicted model, not a curated record.
AGAUUACCUUAUAUUCUAUCCCCUGACAAGAGAUCUUCCAUGCAUGCAGAGCAUGAUCUUCUCUGCUCAACAUCCUGACCAAAAUGCUUAAUAUAUUAAUCCUUAAGCUGCAUGUAUGGGGCUUGCUUCCAAAUACUUUUAAUGAACCUACUACAUAAACUGGUUAGCAUGUGCUGAGAUAUUUUCGACUAGUCUCUGAGUUGACAGGUCUCUCUGGAAAUAUCAUAACUGUUGCUAAUUGGAAAUUGUAAGUUGUUUAUUUAGGUAGCAUUAAGAACCUGGGGUUUAGAUGUCUUAUCUGCUGUAACUUCUGCCUAAGCAUGACUAGAAAAGAAAAAAAAAAGAAAAAGCACUGGAUGAUUCCUACAUCCUCUCCUGAAACUGGAGGCAGCAGCAUCUGUCUACUGAUGUCAUUCUCAUAAGCAUGUGGAACAGCAGGAUCAUAGUCUAUCUCUGUCUAGCCACAGUGUUUUAAAAUCUACUAAAGAAGCAACAGACCUGAGCCAGCCAAACAGUAAAGCUGACAGAGCCAAGGCAGAAACUGUGGAAGCUGAAAGCUGUGAUGACUUUAAAAGCUUAUUUCUACUGUCUUAAUUCCAUAUAGCCUGUUGUCGAUAGAGAUCAGCUAUUUGCUCUCACAGAUUUACUCCUAUCCUGUUUAGUUUUUUUUUUUUUUUUCACCUAUCUAAUUCCUCUCAGAACUCCACUGAAGAGAUUUAAGGAACAAAUAAAGUAAAUAAUAGCAAUGCUAACAGAGAUAAUAUUUGCUACUACCACGUUGUUUGCUGUUCUUGUAUGUUCAUCUUUUCUGCUGCCCUUUGUCUGUCCUUUGUAUGCUGUUUCUAAUUUCUGUGGUCCUGUUAUUUUCUCUGAUUGUAUAUUUAUAUAAGUGUGGUAAAUUAUAUGUUUCUUAGUGGUUCUUAAGGCACGGUAUGAGCUUCUAUUAGGUCUGUACAGUAUAUGCAUACCAAAUUUCAAAAUCAAUGCAUUUCAAAAAUCAGACUUUGAGGGAGAGAAUAGAGAGUCAGAGAUUGUGAUGACAAAGAGAAGCAGGAUUUUUCUCUGUAUUGGAUGAGACAAAAUUGUUUUUUUUUAUAUGUGUUCUUGGGUUUAGAUACACAUUGUUACACUAUUUAGUCUUGAAAGGCAGACUGCAGAACAGGGUUUCAUGUGUAAGUCUACAGAUAAGUGCAUUCUUCUUUGAAAUUUAGUCCAAGAUGUAGACUGUCAUUUAAAAAUUGUGGUCUCAUGCUACACAUAUUAUUUGUCAUAAUGUAUCUUGUAUAGUGACUGAUUUAUGCUGUACAUAAAAAGUAAUUUGAAAAUUACUCCAUGCUAUUUAUUAUAUGUAUUCUAUUUUUCACACAUGUAGUGAAGGCAGAAAGGUGGCAUGUUCAGCCUCUGAAGGACUUUCAAGCUUUAUAUCAUAGUAUCACAAUCACUAGCAAUGAUUUAAUUUUGAUUGUACAUUGAUCUUCUAAGUUAGGUGAUUAUUUUUUCUCCUACAUGUGAAUGUAAUGAUAUUCUAACAUAGAUGUAUGUUAGAAUCACUGAAUCAAAGAAUAAUUUGAGCUGAAAGAGACCUCUUGAUGUUCUUUGAUAUAACUCUCUGCUUGAAGCAGUGUCACCUUAGAUCAGGUUGCUCAAGAUUUGUCCACUUGGGUUUUAAAUAUCUCCAGUUCUCUGUAUGAGACAGGCAUUUAGUCUCUUAUUAGAGACUUAGACCUGUUAAGUAAUUUGUCCAUUGGUGUGGCUCCUGAUUUCUUAUUGACAGUGUUAUGCUUUUGACUGGGAAGAAUAUUUCAGGUUUGUUCACAUCCCCUUUGCUGGAGGAAAGAUGUCAAGCAGAGGAUGAGCAGACCUUGGCAAGAUGGACCCCUCUUGUCUCCAAUGCUCUCAGACAAGGCUGUUUUGAUGGUAACACAACUCUUUAUCUCAUUUUGUCAGGAGGGCAAACACUGACUCUGUUUUUGAGUAACAGUUCUUGAUGAGAGGUGUGCUCUAAUGGCAGCAUUAUAUUUUAGACUUGGGAUGUUCAAAUCUUGAAGUUAGGAAUCGGAGCAUGUGAGGUCCUUCGGGGGGAGUUCCUUUGUGCCCUGCAGCAGCAACAUGGCAUCAUCAAAACCUUUCUGUCAUGGAUAGGAAGUGGCCCUGGGGAGCUGUCCACCCCUCAAUGGUUUGGACAAAGUUCACUCAGCCAACUCAGAGGAAAGAUAAGAUUUCCCCGUGCUAAGACCUAAAACUCUGUGAAUAACUAGAGGCAUCACUUCCUGAUCCUGCAGAGCACUGAUGAUCAGUGAGGAGAUUCAUAAAUGUCCUGACUGUGCGCUCGUCCAGUUAAUCCCGUGGUUACCACCAUCUGGAGGCUAAUCCUGCGGGAUGUUGCACAGCUGAGCCUUGGGUAGUCUGGAGAUGCUGGGACACACACCUAUCUCUUGGACUCUAGCACCUCUGUAUGGGGUGUGGCCUGAGCACAUGGUUUCACAGAUAUGUUCCGUAGCUAAUUCUCCGUCCAAGAUGUCGUGCAUAUUUCGGAAAGACUGAAACUUCCCUCAAAUUCCAGCUUCUUUUUUUUGGCUUCAUGAUGUUUUCCGAAUUUGAAGUGGUGAAACCAUGAGUGUUGAUCUCCUCUUGGCUCCAUCUGCUGCUUCUUUAAAUGCUGUUUGGCACCAUUCUGUUCAGCAAUGGACACAAACAAGACAAGUGUCUCACAAUCUAAUACAGGAAUGUUUUGUAGCAUGUUGCCAAGGUUAAGGCAUGUUGUUUUGGUCUAUAGCAUGAGAAUCAGGAAGGGCACACAAGGCCAUGAAGCCUCCAGGCUGAAGAAACCAGAUCUGCCAGGAUUUAUUUUUAUGUUUUAUAUAGGAACAAAACUCUGGCAUUCACUGUUUUCCAGUUCAUGCUUGCACUUUUUUUUUCAUAAGUAAACUCUUUAGGCUUCAGCCCUUCCAACAGAACCCCACAAGGAAUACUGGAUGGUAAACAGCAUAUAUGUAGCCAGGAAGAUCAAUAGACUGAGACUGGAAUGUGAAACGCAACAGUAAAGAUAUGUGGGAGACCUUGUUCUCCAUUGCUACAAAGAUAAGACACAAUUUGGAAUUAAGCAGUGGCCAGGACUCCUCUAUAUUCAGUGCUCUUCCAAAAGCACAAAAAACACAAGUCCUGUCCCAAAAUUAUCUGAGAAAAGAACUGAGAUAGGGGCAUGAAAAGAUAUGAAAAUAAGGUGGAGCUGUGACACAAUAUUAUCCAGCAUAAUAUGCAAGCUAUCUCCCUCAUUAUGUAAGAGUACAGAAAAUUUCCUAGCACUGGAUUCAGUCUAUGUACUACAGAAAAUAUCCUUUUUUCAGGCAGUCAUGAAGUGGAAGAAGACAAGUAAGCAUUUCAAACUACUAUCAGUACAGAAGCACUGACCAGUAAAUUAAAAAAUUUUGAGAACUUGUGUGCAGGAUGAUCUGUUGUGGCAGAAAAAUCAUGCUUCAAAUGAAAAAGUAAUAGUAGCAACACAUGUCAGUGAUAAAUACAAGAGAGAGAGAAUAUAGAAAAGCUGAGCUCUGAAGAAUCAAGAAAAUAAAUGUUUGUGUUAAUGCCAUAAAAAAAAUUAUUUAAAUGGGUUUGGAGAAGAGAGGAGAAAAAUUACCUGAUUUCAAGAGGUUAACUUCAACAUUUAAUGAACAUUAAUCCAGGAAGUCCUACCUCCCUUUACAAGAGCCAUUAGUAGAGUGAAUUUCUGUCAAAAUCUAGCAUCUAAUACCAAAAAGUGUUAACUUAUCUGCUUCAACCAACAAAUAAAUCAACCUACAAAAACAUUUUCCAACUACUGUUUUUUGGAAUGACUCCCAAAUAUAUUAAUGGCAUGAGUUCUUUCAACUGGAGUCUUUUGGAAGGGCUCCCAAUAAAGUUAAUGACACAAAGUUCUUUCAACUAGUGUCUUUUGGAAUGUGUCCCCAUAAUAUUAUUGUAAUGCCCUCAGCUCAUUCAUCUUUGUAACAUCAUAGUAAUUACACAUUCAUUUUCCUAUAUAUUGAACUAACUACCUUUCUUUGAAAUAAAGCAAAACUUUAGGUAAUUAAACAGCAUUUUGAUUUAAACUAUAUUCAAUACUAAUAUAUGCAGUGUUUACAGCCAUAGAGAACUGAAUUAGUAAAACAAAAAUUUCAUUAAACUGAAAAAAAUUGAAAUUUUCAGACAGAGUAUAUGCUUUAAUGAGCAACUGUAUUAUAGGAAUUCAGGUAUGCAGAAUGUGAUGCAAAGACUUCUUUCAUAAUUUACCCAACUGAAUUGUCAAGCUAAUUCACAUAACAAAAUAGUCUGGCUUUUUUGUGUGGCUACAUGGAAAAGAGUCAUAAAAGACAAUAUAUCUUUCAACCAUUUUAAAGUGCCGAUCUCUGAAAUGCCUAAGUUGUUAUGAGGUGAACUUAUUCUUU